GUGAAAUCCCGCUGCUCCAUCGGCGGAAGCUGCAUCUAAAAGUGCGUCUGAAGAGUGUCAGAAGAGAAAAGUGGAUUUCCUAGUGUAGCGAUGAAAUGCGUAGAUAUGAGGAGGAACAGCGGUGGAGAAGGCGUUUUUUGGUCGAUAACUGACGCUGAGACGCGAAAGCGUGGGGAGCACACAGGAUUAGAUACCCGUGGUAGUCCACGCCGUAAGACGAUGAAUACUAGGUGUAGGGGGUAUCGACUCCCCCCUGUGCCGCAGCUAACGCAUUAAGUAUUCCACGAGGAGUAGUACGGUCGCAAGACUGAAACUCAAAGGAAUUGGCGGGGACCCGCACAAGCAGUGGCGUAUGUGGUUUAAUUAGAGGCAACGCGAAGAACCUUCCCAAGGCUUGACAUCCCGCGACAAACGUGGAAACAAGUCUUCCCCUUCGGAGGCGCGGAGACAGGUGGUGCAUGGUUGUCAUCAGCUCGUGUCGUGAGAUGUUGGGUUAAGUCCCGCAACGAGCGCAACCCUUGCUGCCAGUCGCCAUCAUUAAGUUGGGCAUUCUGGCGGGACUGCCGGUGCCAAAUGGGAGGAAGGUGGGGAUGACGUCAAAUCAUCAUGCCCUUUAUGUCUUGGGUUCCACACGUACUACAAUGGUCGUUACAGAAGGAAGGGAAGCCGCGAGGCGGAGCGAAUCCCCAAAGGCGGCCCCAGUUCGGAUUGCAGGCUGCAACUUGCCUGCAUGAAGUCGGAAUUGCUAGUAAUUGCAGGUCAGCAUACUGCAGUGAAUACGUUCCCGGGUCUUGUACACACCGCCCGUCACACCAUGAGAGUUUGUAACACCCGAAGUCGGUUGGCUAACCGUAAGGAGGCAGCCGC
This 867-nucleotide ribosomal RNA is filed under the name uncultured bacterium. Its description in RNAcentral is "bacterial SSU rRNA". It matches the Rfam family "Bacterial small subunit ribosomal RNA", at positions 594 to 1456 of the family's 1533-position model. The record is from RNAcentral.